CACGUAGGGCGCAAGCGUUGUCCGGAAUUACUGGGCGUAAAGGGUGCGUAGGCGGCGCGGUAAGUCGGGUGUGAAAUCUCGGAGCUUAACUCCGAAACUGCAUUCGAUACUGCCGUGCUUGAGGACUGGAGAGGAGACUGGAAUUUACGGUGUAGCGGUGAAAUGCGUAGAUAUCGUAAGGAAGAUCAGUGGCGAAGGCGGGUCUCUGGACAGUUCCUGACGCUGAGGCACGAAGGCCAGGGGAGCAAACGGG
Molecule: ribosomal RNA, 253 nt
Filed under: uncultured bacterium
Lineage: Bacteria
Description: partial 16S ribosomal RNA
Rfam family: Bacterial small subunit ribosomal RNA
Source: RNAcentral